This is a long non-coding RNA of Protopterus annectens (West African lungfish), 655 nucleotides long. RefSeq lists it as uncharacterized. The record is from RefSeq and is a predicted model, not a curated record. NCBI's taxonomy places the organism in Eukaryota, Metazoa, Chordata, Ceratodontiformes, Protopteridae. The transcript has 2 exons.
CCUUUUUGGCCCUCUGUAAUGCAUUCCUUCCUUACGAAAUCUAGCUAAGCCUCAGUUUGAUUGGAUUUCUUAUGCUUUCUUUUUCCUCUUUGUUAAUUCGUGACACAGCAUCCUGUGACCUAAUAUGUAAAUUAUAGUUGUGGUCAGAAUAGGAUUUUUCGAUAUAAGUACUGGAGCACAAUGAACAAGUUACAGAUCUCAGGCAGACUAACUUAUCAAAAUGUGGAAGAAGUACAUUGCCUUGCUUUUUAUUGCAUCAGUUGUACUGCAGACCACUGCUGCAGAUCCAGGUGCAACCACUAAUGAUGAUGAUGAUUCUCUGAAAACAGGAGGAAGGCGUACAUUCAAACACUGUAUUCGUAAUUGCUUUCAUAAAGAAGGAAGAAAAUUUUGCAUCUGGAACUGUGAAUGAGGAGAAUCUGACUUCAAAGAGAUUGAUCAUGUGCUUUAUGAAGACUAGAAAAUUCAGUUAGAGAAAAACCCAAGAGCAGUUCUUAAAACCCAUGCAUUGAAUAUUUGGGUGGGUUGGGGUUUCUGCACUAUAACUAUGAUGGUAUAACUUCAAGGAAUUAUGGAAGGGUUCUCCCAGUACUGAAAUAUUCUUUUUAAUGUAUUGUUUACUCCAUUAAUCAAACUCAGAACAAUUGUACUGUUA